This is a non-coding RNA of Pelobates cultripes (western spadefoot toad), 83 nucleotides long. The record is from the annotation of a GenBank genome assembly. Lineage: Eukaryota; Metazoa; Chordata; Amphibia; Anura; Pelobatidae.
ACAGCGCCCCCCUGAGAAGGGGACGGGGCCAGAGAGAGGAUGGGGCCUCUCUUGGCCCUGUCCCCUUCUCAGGGGGGCACUGU